CUAAUUUUCGCAAUUGGCAAUCAGUCUUGUGUGCUUUAUGAGCGAAUUAGGACAUAAACGCUCACAUUAUUGUGGACGGCUUGCCUUCUCGUGGGGCCCGAGUGCAACCGAGAAAGGGAGUUGAAAAUGGUGCAGGCGCCGUUUGCAUGGAAACGUGUCUUUACAAGCGUGCCUCUACAAAGCACGAUAGUGGGGGCAACAACACCGAGAAGAAACUAACAAGUUGGCAAGCCAGUUUAUUCAAAUCAUUGUAUAUCUAGUGGUUUUGGAGUAUGUAAGAAUAAACGGAUAAAUCAUUACAAACGUGGAUUUGCCAACAGUAUUAUUACCUUGCGAAAGAAAUGGACAUCAUGGGAAGUAAAUGAAAGUUUCAAUAGAGCAGGGUCCCCCUGCCAGCUUUGACAGAUAUGUCCUCCAGACAUCAGGACUGUCUCGCACUAAUUUGCAAGCAUUUAUUCCCUGGGCUCCCAGACUUUCCUGUGGAAUAAGUGGAGAUUCAAGAGGAAAGCAGCCGAGGAAUGCCCAUGAUGAUAGAAGAGGUGGGCGCGUACACCAUAGGCCUGAUGAACACACAAACAACACUCCAGAAGUAGAAAACUUUUAUCGUGCAAAAGUCUGGCAGACACAAUGGUCUAAACGUGGAGAGCAGGAGGGAGGAUACAAUGGUUCAAACGUGGAGAGCAGGAGGGAGGACACAAUGGUUCAAACGUGGAGAGCAGGAGGGAGGAUACAAUGGUCUAAACGUGGAGAGCAGGAGGGAGGAUACAAUGGUCUAAACGUGGAGAGCAGGAGGGAGGAUACAAUGGUUCAAACGUGGAGAGCAGGAGGGAGGACACAAUGGUCUAAACGUGGAGAGCAGGAGGGAGGAUACAAUGGUCUAAACGGGGAGAGCAGGAGGGAGGAUACAAUGGUCUAAACGUGGAUAGCAGGAGGGAGGACACAAUGGUCUAAACGUGGAGAGCAGGAGGGAGGAUACAAUGGUCUAAACGUGGAUAGCAGGAGGGAGGACACAAUGGUCUAAACGUGGAUAGCAGGAGGGAGGACACAAUGGUCUAAACGUGGAGAGCAGGAGGGAGGACACAAUGGUCUAAACGUGGAGAGCAGGAGGGAGGACACAAUGGUCUAAACGUGGAGAGCAGGAGGGAGGACACAAUGGUCUAAACAUGGAGAGCAGGAGGGAGGACACAAUGGUCUAAACGUGGAUAGCAGGAGGGAGGACACAAUGGUCUAAACGUGGAUAGCAGGAGGGAGGAUACAAUAGUCUAAACGUGGAGAGCAGGAGGGAGGACACAACAGUCGAAACGUGGAGAGCAGGAGGGAGGACACAAUAGUCGAAACGUGGAGAGCAGGAGGGAGGACACAAUAGUCGAAACGUGGAGAGCAGGAGGGAGGACACAAUGGUCUAAACGUGGAGAGCAGGAGGGAGGACACAAUGGUCUAAACGUGGAGAGCAGGAGGGAGGACACAAUGGUCUAAACGUGGAGAGCAGGAGGGAGGACACAAUGGUCUAAACGUGGAGAGCAGGAGGGAGGAUACAAUAGUCUAAACGUGGAGAGCAGGAGGGAGGAUACAAUGGUCUAAACGUGGAGAGCAGGAGGGAGGAUACAAUGGUCUAAACGUGGAGAGCAGGAGGAGGUUAUAGAGCGGCUGGUCAGUGUACCUGCACACUCACUGUCCCUCUCAUCAAUUGAAUUAAUAUAAUUUAUUACCACUCUGAAGCCCAGGGAAGACCACAGGUAGCACAACACACACACACACACACACACACACACACACACACAGAGCUGGCAUUUCCAUGCAGUGACCCGUACCCCCACAGUGUCACCCUGUGGAAGAUGGCAGCAGCUGCCGAGCAGAGCUGAUGGUGGGUGGUGUAACUACAGUGUUUGUAAUCAGACUCCCAUCCGCUACACACUCUGCCUGCUAACAUAUUCUACAUUACCAGACAGCAGAGCAGAGCACCUCAGCCCUGUAUAUAUCUGCAUAGUAAUAUGACUAAGACAUAUCUGGGUAAUAAUAAACUCUUUAUUCUCUGUCCUCCAUAAAGAAAUGGAGGUAGAAUACUGUGUAUUAUCUGAAAGACUGAGUUUAGAAUGGCAUGUAAAGGGAGAUCGGAUGGGGGGAUGGUAUGUGGAAUUAGUUAGUGCCUUUGUGACAACUGUUGAUGUUCAAGUUUUAUUAUACUAACAUACUGUAUUAGUCAAUACAAACUAAAUAAACCUGUAAAAAGGGCUAAAAGUUUUAAUGUCAAUGCUUUUCUUGCAAUCUCCCAUCGGCUCCAACCUCCCAUCUGAGAACAUUUGAUUGACUAAUUUGCAGUUUUCCCCCUUCCUUUCCCUCCCCCCAUCCAGAGGGUGCUGUUAAAACGUUGUGU
Molecule: long non-coding RNA, 2374 nt
Organism: Oncorhynchus tshawytscha (Chinook salmon)
Lineage: Eukaryota; Metazoa; Chordata; Actinopteri; Salmoniformes; Salmonidae
Source: Ensembl